UGACAGCCAGUAGCGUGCAGGAGACGGCCCUAUGGGUUGUAAACUGCUUUUAUACGAGAAUAAUUUGAUGCACGUGUGCGUUAUUGCAUGUAUCGUAUGAAUAAGGACCGGCUAAUUCCGUGCCAGCAGCCGCGGUAAUACGGAAGGUCCAGGCGUUAUCCGGAUUUAUUGGGUUUAAAGGGAGUGUAGGCGGUUUGUUAAGCGUGUUGUGAAAUUUAGGUGCUCAACAUUUAACUUGCAGCGCGAACUGUCAGACUUGAGUACACGCAACGUAUGCGGAAUUCAUGGUGUAGCGGUGAAAUGCUUAGAUAUCAUGAAGAACUCCGAUUGCGAAGGCAGCAUACGGGAGUGUAACUGACGCUUAAGCUCGAAGGUGCGGGUAUCGAACA
Molecule: ribosomal RNA, 389 nt
Filed under: Prevotella pallens
Lineage: Bacteria; Pseudomonadati; Bacteroidota; Bacteroidia; Bacteroidales; Prevotellaceae
Description: bacterial SSU rRNA
Rfam family: Bacterial small subunit ribosomal RNA
Source: RNAcentral